RNAcentral lists this transfer RNA (62 nucleotides) under Oregonia gracilis. RNAcentral describes it as "tRNA-Cys". The record is from RNAcentral. Lineage: Eukaryota; Metazoa; Arthropoda; Malacostraca; Decapoda; Oregoniidae.
GGUCUUAAAGUAUAAUAAUAUGUCGGAUUGCAAAUCUGAAGAUGUGCAAAGCACUAGGGCUU